RNAcentral lists this transfer-messenger RNA (351 nucleotides) under Synergistales. RNAcentral describes it as "o Synergistales X1 Standard tmRNA". It matches the Rfam family "transfer-messenger RNA". From Rfam's summary of the family: Bacterial tmRNA, also known as 10Sa RNA or SsrA, is named for its dual tRNA and mRNA-like properties. Its role is to liberate the mRNA from a stalled ribosome. The record is from RNAcentral. RNAcentral also lists the same sequence under 2 other names. Lineage: Bacteria; Thermotogati; Synergistota; Synergistia.
GGGGGCGAAAGGUUUCGACGGCGGUUCAGAGGUCAAAGGAGCGAGCCGAGUUUGUCCGGUGGCUCGACAAAAACCGGUCGCACAAUAAGUGCCAACGAGAGCUACGCUCUGGCCGCUUAAGUAGCGGUCACGCCCGCGGGGGGCUAGCCGUCGGUGCCCCGUAGGGCGUCAUAGGAGACGGCUGGCUCCAGGGGUCGGCCCCUGCCUCUGGAGCGAGACCCAGGGGGCUGGCUCGGGGCGGAUCCUGCCCAUGGGAGUCGCACCGAGCGAGAUCAAAACAUGGGCUACGCUCGUAGGGGCCUUUGGCCGAAGGCUAGCCGGACGGGGGUUCGAUUCCCCCCGCCUCCACCA